Non-coding RNA from Equus caballus (horse), 270 nucleotides. NCBI's taxonomy places the organism in Eukaryota, Metazoa, Chordata, Mammalia, Perissodactyla, Equidae. The record is from RefSeq and is a predicted model, not a curated record.
GGAUACCUCAGAGAGUCGAUGUGGUUUGUGCCCAGGUUGUGGGGAGGGAAGAGUAAAAACGGGAGCUGAGGAGAGAGUCAGCAGCAGGAAGUGAACGUUGUCCACAUCAAAAAGGUCUUCAGCAAAAUUGUGUAAGAACUUCAGCCUGGACUCAGAUUACUUGGAGGAAUUGGAGGAGGAGCAGUGUGAGAAGUCCCCAGAACCACUGUCAGGGCCGCCUAGAGGAGCAGAUUAGCCCUGAGCUAACAUCUGCUGCCAGUCCUCCUCUUU